RNAcentral lists this ribosomal RNA (497 nucleotides) under uncultured bacterium. RNAcentral's name for it is "partial 16S ribosomal RNA". It matches the Rfam family "Bacterial small subunit ribosomal RNA", at positions 28 to 507 of the family's 1533-position model. The record is from RNAcentral.
GACGAACACUGGCGGCGUGCCUAAUACAUGCAAGUUGAGCGAUGAAGAUUGGUGCUUGCACCAAUUUGAAGAGCAGCGAACGGGUGAGUAACGCGUGGGGAAUCUGCCUUUGAGCGGGGGACAACAUUUGGAAACGAAUGCUAAUACCGCAUAAUAACUUUAAACAUAAGUUUUAAGUUUGAAAGAUGCAAUUGCAUCACUCAAAGAUGAUCCCGCGUUGUAUUAGCUAGUUGGUGUGGUAAAGGCUCACCAAGGCGAUGAUACAUAGCCGACCUGAGAGGGUGAUCGGCCACAUUGGGACUGAGACACGGCCCAAACUCCUACGGGAGGCAGCAGUAGGGAAUCUUCGGCAAUAGACGAAAGUCUGACCGAGCAACGCCGCGUGAGUGAAGAAGGUUUUCGGAUCGUAAAACUCUGUUGGUAGAGAAGAACGUUGGUGAGAGUGGAAAGCUCAUCAAGUGACGGUAACUACCCAGAAAGGGACGGCUAACUACGUG